AGUGACAUUGGGUCACUUUGAUGGCCUCCUUCCAUCAGAGAGCUCUAAUGUCACUUA
RNAcentral lists this microRNA precursor (57 nucleotides) under Oreochromis niloticus (Nile tilapia). RNAcentral describes it as "microRNA oni-mir-10930 precursor". The record is from miRBase by way of RNAcentral. Lineage: Eukaryota; Metazoa; Chordata; Actinopteri; Cichliformes; Cichlidae.